RNAcentral lists this ribosomal RNA (253 nucleotides) under uncultured bacterium. RNAcentral describes it as "partial 16S ribosomal RNA". It matches the Rfam family "Bacterial small subunit ribosomal RNA", at positions 524 to 776 of the family's 1533-position model. The record is from RNAcentral.
UACGGAGGGUGCAAGCGUUGUCCGGAAUCACUGGGCGUAAAGGGCGCGUAGGCGGCCUGAUAAGUAGGGGGUGAAAUCCUGCGGCUUAACCGCAGGGCUGCCUUCUAAACUGUCAGGCUCGAGCACAGUAGAGGCAGGUGGAAUUCCCGGUGUAGCGGUGGAAUGCGUAGAGAUCGGGAAGAACAUCAGUGGCGAAGGCGGCCUGCUGGGCUGUUGCUGACGCUGAGGCGCGACAGCGUGGGGAGCAAACAGG